Molecule: ribosomal RNA, 551 nt
Filed under: uncultured beta proteobacterium
Lineage: Bacteria; Pseudomonadati; Pseudomonadota; Betaproteobacteria
Description: bacterial SSU rRNA
Rfam family: Bacterial small subunit ribosomal RNA
Source: RNAcentral
AACAACCUUACCUACCCUUGACAUGUCCGGAAGCCUGCUGAAAGGCGGGUGUGCCUGAAAGGGAACCGGAACACAGGUGCUGCAUGGCUGUCGUCAGCUCGUGUCGUGAGAUGUUGGGUUAAGUCCCGCAACGAGCGCAACCCUUGUCCCUAGUUGCUACGCAAGGGCACUCUAGGGAGACUGCCGGUGACAAACCGGAGGAAGGUGGGGAUGACGUCAAGUCCUCAUGGCCCUUAUGGGUAGGGCUUCACACGUCAUACAAUGGACGGUACAGAGGGUUGCCAACCCGCGAGGGGGAGCCAAUCCCAGAAAGCCGUUCGUAGUCCGGAUCGCAGUCUGCAACUCGACUGCGUGAAGUCGGAAUCACUAGUAAUCGCGGAUCAGCAUGUCGCGGUGAAUACGUUUCCCGGGUCUUGUACACACCGCCCGUCACACCAUGGGAGCGGGAUGUACCAUAAGUAGGUAGGCUAACCCUGAGGUGCAAAACCGAGGGAGGCCGCUUACCACGGUGCGUUUCCUGACUGGGGUGAAGUCGUAACAAGGUAGCCGUA